UAGAAUUGAGUUGUCUAUCUACAUUUGAAA
This 30-nucleotide non-coding RNA is filed under the name Rattus norvegicus (Norway rat). Lineage: Eukaryota; Metazoa; Chordata; Mammalia; Rodentia; Muridae. The record is from RNAcentral.